Molecule: signal recognition particle RNA, 265 nt
Filed under: Planctomycetota bacterium
Lineage: Bacteria; Pseudomonadati; Planctomycetota
Description: signal recognition particle sRNA large type
Rfam family: Bacterial large signal recognition particle RNA
About the family: The signal recognition particle (SRP) is a universally conserved ribonucleoprotein involved in the co-translational targeting of proteins to membranes. Archaeal SRP consists of a 7S RNA and homologues of the eukaryotic SRP19 and SRP54 proteins.
Source: RNAcentral
CCGCGCACGGCCCCUAAUCGGGUGCGGGGUGACCUGCAACCCGCUAUAGCAGGGUACAACCCCCGACUGCGAUGCGUCAUCCUCGGAUCCUCUUUCAUCGCGAGCGGCGUUGAAGGUCGGGUCCCAUGCAAUGGGUGGCCGGGAACCCCGCCAGGUCCGGAAGGAAGCAACGGUAACCAUCGCCAGCCAUGUGCCGUGGAAAAACCUGACUGGAGCUAGUUACGGUGCCGGAGCCCGAGGAGGCGUAGCAAAGAAGGGUGCGCGA